This 149-nucleotide small RNA is filed under the name Pseudomonas cuatrocienegasensis. RNAcentral describes it as "PrrF RNA". It matches the Rfam family "PrrF RNA". Rfam says of the family: PrrF RNA is a small RNA involved in iron homeostasis and is found exclusively in Pseudomonas species. Their expression is induced under iron limitation by the ferric uptake regulator (Fur) and they act to negatively regulate several genes including sodB and sdh. RNAcentral also lists the same sequence under 1 other name. Lineage: Bacteria; Pseudomonadati; Pseudomonadota; Gammaproteobacteria; Pseudomonadales; Pseudomonadaceae. The record is from RNAcentral.
UUGACUCAUGAAUGAGAAUUGUUAUUAUUCACUCAACUGAUCGCGAGAUCAGUCGAUAAGCUCAAGAGACUCUCAUCAGGCUCUUCAGGUUAUCUCCUCAUCAGGCUAAUCACGGUUAUUGACCCGGCUAACACCCGGGUCUUUUUUUG